CCUACGGGAGGCAGCAGUGAGGAAUAUUGGUCAAUGGACGAGAGCCUGAACCAGCCAAGUAGCGUGAAGGAUGACUGCCCUAUGGGUUGUAAACUUCUUUUAUAUGGGAAUAAAAUGUUCCACGUGUGGGAUUUUGUAUGUACCAUAUGAAUAAGGAUCGGCUAACUCCGAGCCAGCCGCCGCGGUAAUAAGGAGGAUCCGAGCGUUAUCCGGAUUUAUUGGGUUUAAAGGGAUCGUAGGUGGAUUGUUAAGUCAGGUGUGAAAGUUUGGGGCUCAACCGUAAAAUUGCAGUUGAAACUGGCAGUCUUGAGUGCAGUAGAGGUGUGCGGAAUGCGUGGUGUAGCGGUGAAAUGCUUAGAUAUCACGAAGAACCCCGAUUGCGAAGGCAGCUCACUGGACUGCAACUGACACUGAGGCUCGAAAGUGUGGGUAUCAAACAGGAUUAGAUACCCGAGUAGUC
Molecule: ribosomal RNA, 460 nt
Filed under: uncultured bacterium
Lineage: Bacteria
Description: partial 16S ribosomal RNA
Rfam family: Bacterial small subunit ribosomal RNA
Source: RNAcentral